AUUGGACAAUGGGGGCAACCCUGAUCCAGCCAUGCCGCGUGUGUGAAGAAGGUCUUCGNAUUGUANANCACUUUAAGUUGGGAGGNCAGGCUUUAGGUUAAUACGCUGAAGUUUUUACGUUACCAACAGAAUAAGCAACGGCCAACUCUGUACCAGCAGCCGCGGUAAUACAGAGGGUGCAAGUGUUAAUCGGAAUUACUGGGCGUAAAGCGCGCGUAGGUGGUUCAGUAAGAUGGGUGUGAAAUCCCCGGGCUUAACCUGGGAACUGCUUUCAUAACUGCUGAGCUAGAGUACGGUAGAGGGUAGUGGAAUUUCCUGUGUAGCGGUGAAAUGCGUAGAUAUAGGAAGGAACACCAGUGGCGAAGGCGACUACCUGGACUGAUACUGACACUGAGGUGCGAAAGCGUGGGGAGCAAACA
RNAcentral lists this ribosomal RNA (419 nucleotides) under uncultured bacterium. Its description in RNAcentral is "partial 16S ribosomal RNA". It matches the Rfam family "Bacterial small subunit ribosomal RNA", at positions 363 to 774 of the family's 1533-position model. The record is from RNAcentral.